This 1055-nucleotide ribosomal RNA is filed under the name uncultured bacterium. RNAcentral describes it as "bacterial SSU rRNA". It matches the Rfam family "Bacterial small subunit ribosomal RNA", at positions 337 to 1393 of the family's 1533-position model. The record is from RNAcentral.
UCCUACGGGAGGCAGCAGUGAGGAAUAUUGGUCAAUGGGCGCGAGCCUGAACCAGCCAAGUAGCGUGAAGGAUGAAGGUCCUACGGAUUGUAAACUUCUUUUAUAAGGGAAUAAAGUCGCCUACGUGUAGGCGUUUGUAUGUACCUUAUGAAUAAGCAUCGGCUAACUCCGUGCCAGCAGCCGCGGUAAUACGGAGGAUGCGAGCGUUAUCCGGAUUUAUUGGGUUUAAAGGGAGCGUAGACGGAGGAUUAAGUCAGUUGUGAAAGUUUGCGGCUCAACCGUAAAAUUGCAGUUGAUACUGGUCCCCUUGAGUGCAGUUGAGGCAGGCGGAAUUCGUGGUGUAGCGGUGAAAUGCUUAGAUAUCACGAAGAACCCCGAUCGCGAAGGCAGCCUGCUAAGCUGUAACUGACGUUGAUGCUCGAAAGUGUGGGUAUCAAACAGGAUUAGAUACCCUGGUAGUCCACACGGUAAACGAUGGAUACUCGCUGUUGGCGAUAUACUGUCAGCGGCCAAGCGAAAGCAUUAAGUAUCCCACCUGGGGAGUACGCCGGCAACGGUGAAACUCAAAGGAAUUGACGGGGGCCCGCACAAGCGGAGGAACAUGUGGUUUAAUUCGAUGAUACGCGAGGAACCUUACCCGGGCUUGAAUUGCAGAGGAAGGAUUUGGAGACAAUGACGCCCUUCGGGGCCUCUGUGAAGGUGCUGCAUGGUUGUCGUCAGCUCGUGCCGUGAGGUGUCGGCUUAAGUGCCAUAACGAGCGCAACCCCUCUCCUUAGUUGCCAUCAGGUUAAGCUGGGCACUCUGGGGACACUGCCACCGUAAGGUGUGAGGAAGGUGGGGAUGACGUCAAAUCAGCACGGCCCUUACGUCCGGGGCUACACACGUGUUACAAUGGCAGGUACAGAGAGACGGUCCCUUGCAAAAUGGAUCAAAUCCUUAAAGCCUGUCUCAGUUCGGACUGGGGUCUGCGACCCGACCCCACGAAGCUGGAUUCGCUAGUAAUCGCGCAUCAGCCAUGGCGCGGUGAAUACGUUCCCGGGCCUUGUACACACCGC